GCCUCGGUAGCUCAGCCUGGUCAGAGCACAGGUUUCAUAAGCCUGGCGCCGCGAGUUCAAAUCUCGCCCGAGGCA
Molecule: transfer RNA, 75 nt
Filed under: Nanobdellota archaeon
Lineage: Archaea; Nanobdellati; Nanobdellota
Description: tRNA-Met
Rfam family: tRNA
About the family: Transfer RNA (tRNA) molecules are approximately 80 nucleotides in length.
Source: RNAcentral